Molecule: transfer RNA, 65 nt
Filed under: Melissodes lupinus
Lineage: Eukaryota; Metazoa; Arthropoda; Insecta; Hymenoptera; Apidae
Description: tRNA-Leu
Source: RNAcentral
UUUAAUAUGGCAGAUUAGUGCAAUGAGUUUAAGUUUCAUGUAUAUAAAUUUUAUUUAUUAUUAAA